This 31-nucleotide non-coding RNA is filed under the name Mus musculus (house mouse). The record is from RNAcentral. Lineage: Eukaryota; Metazoa; Chordata; Mammalia; Rodentia; Muridae.
UGUAACCAAACUCCACAAUUCUACUUAACAC